RNAcentral lists this ribosomal RNA (253 nucleotides) under uncultured bacterium. RNAcentral describes it as "partial 16S ribosomal RNA". It matches the Rfam family "Bacterial small subunit ribosomal RNA", at positions 524 to 776 of the family's 1533-position model. The record is from RNAcentral.
GACAGAGGGGGCAAGCGUUGUCCGGAGUAACUGGGCGUACAGCGCGCGCAGGCGGUUGGUGACGUGCCGUGUCACAGCCCUGAGCUCACCUCAGGGUGGCCACGGUAGACGCGCCGACUAGAGGCAGGGAGAGGGAUGUGGAAUACCCGGUGGAGCGGUGAAAUGCGUAGAUAUCAGGAGGAACACCGGUGGUGUAAACGGCUUUCUGGACCGUAACUGACGCUGAGGCACGAAAGCGUGGGUAGCAAACAGG